Molecule: ribosomal RNA, 119 nt
Filed under: Gonium pectorale
Lineage: Eukaryota; Viridiplantae; Chlorophyta; Chlorophyceae; Chlamydomonadales; Volvocaceae
Also listed under: 3 other names
Source: RNAcentral
UGGAUCGUUCAUACCAUGGUGAAAACCGCCCAUCCCAUCAGCACUGGGCACGUAAGCACCAUUGGGCCAGAUCAGUAGUACGGUGGGGGACCACGUGCGAACCCCUGGUGACGAUCUGU